Molecule: ribosomal RNA, 449 nt
Filed under: uncultured bacterium
Lineage: Bacteria
Description: partial 16S ribosomal RNA
Rfam family: Bacterial small subunit ribosomal RNA
Source: RNAcentral
GUCGAGAAUCUUUCACAAUGGGGGCAACCCUGAUGGAGCGACGCCGCGUGGAGGAUAAGGUCUUCGGAUUGUAAACUCCUGUCAUGCGUGAACAAGGUUGCUUGGUUAAUACCUGGGCAAAUUGAUGGUAACGCAAGAGGAAGAGACGGCUAACUCUGUGCCAGCAGCCGCGGUAAUACAGAGGUCUCAAGCGUUGUUCGGAAUCACUGGGCGUAAAGGGUGCGUAGGUGGCGUGGUAAGUCAGAUGUGAAAGCCCGGGGCUCAACCUCGGAACUGCAUCCGAUACUGCCAUGCUAGAGUACUGGAGAGGUUGCUAGAAUUCUCGGUGUAGCAGUGAAAUGCGUAGAUAUCGAGAGGAAUACCAAAGGCGUAGGCAGGUCACUGGACAGUUACUGACACUGAGGCACGAAGGCCAGGGGAGCGAACGGGAUUAGAAACCCUUGUAGUCC